UACCAGCACCCCGAGUGGUCGGGACGAUUAUUGGGCCUAAAGCGUCCGUAGCCGGUUCUUUAAGUCCUCCGUUAAAUCCACCUGCUUAACAGAUGGGCUGCGGAGGAUACUAUAGAGCUAGGAGGCGGGAGAGGCAAGCGGUACUCAAUGGGUAGGGGUAAAAUCCGUUGAUCCAUUGAAGACCACCAGUGGCGAAGGCGGCUUGCCAGAACGCGCUCGACGGUGAGGGAUGAAAGCUGGGGGAGCAAACCGG
Molecule: ribosomal RNA, 253 nt
Filed under: uncultured bacterium
Lineage: Bacteria
Description: partial 16S ribosomal RNA
Rfam family: Archaeal small subunit ribosomal RNA
Source: RNAcentral